Molecule: ribosomal RNA, 252 nt
Filed under: uncultured bacterium
Lineage: Bacteria
Description: partial 16S ribosomal RNA
Rfam family: Bacterial small subunit ribosomal RNA
Source: RNAcentral
UACGGAGGAUGCGAGCGUUAUCCGGAUUUAUUGGGUUUAAAGGGUGCGUAGGCGGGCUUUUAAGUCAGCGGUAAAAAUUCGGGGCUCAACCCCGUCCGGCCGUUGAAACUGGGGGUCUUGAGUGGGCGAGAAGAAGGCGGAAUGCGUGGUGUAGCGGUGAAAUGCAUAGAUAUCACGCAGAACCCCGAUUGCUAAGGCAGCCUUCCGGCGCCCUACUGACGCUGAGGCACGAAAGUGCGGAGAUCGAACAGG